Long non-coding RNA from Oncorhynchus tshawytscha (Chinook salmon), 677 nucleotides. RefSeq lists it as uncharacterized. The record is from RefSeq and is a predicted model, not a curated record. NCBI's taxonomy places the organism in Eukaryota, Metazoa, Chordata, Actinopteri, Salmoniformes, Salmonidae. The transcript has 2 exons.
UCAUCCUUUAUUUUCAUUAUUUGUAGGACUCGGGAAAUACUUAAUACAACUCAAUUAAUUGAGCGUCGAGGCUGAGUGGAGGCACUCAGAGGGAGUGUAAAGAAUGUCGUGGAAGAGGAUGGGAUGCUGACUAAGGACCUGGGUAAACUGUGCACAGGAGUAACCCUCAUUGGGUACUCAGGGCAGACUACACUCCAAGAGUGAGCAGAUGGAACCUGCCUAAGAUCCAAGAAGGACGCGUUGGCAGGUGUAUACAGCAUUCGGAACAUAAACCAAUCUCACCUCUGUAGUCUUUCUUGAAAGCAAUUAUUUCCCGCGAGAAGCCAGUAGCAACUGGUGGGCCUUAGGUAACAAGACUGAGGAGCACUCUCAAUUAGGUGAGCCUGUUGGUUCUAGGCAACAAGACUAGUGUGGGAGGCUCUGAGGAGCACUCUCAAUUAGGUGAGCCUGGUGACCGGGGAAACAAGACUAGCGUGUGAAGUUCUGAGGAACAUUCUCAACUUGGUGAGCCUGUGGAACUGAUCAGUAAGAGUUUAAUAGAAAUUAGGUUGUGCCAUGGGUUAGUAUUGUAAGAUGUAAAUGUAAGAUGUAAGAUGUAAAAACACUGAGAGAGAAAUGAGAAAAUAUUCCUGCAGGUUAUAAAAAAAAAAAAAUUAACUAAUUGAUUAGUGUGUUUU